UACAGAGGGGGCUAGCGUUAUUCGGAAUUAUUGGGCGUAAAGGGCGCGUAGGCGGCCAUGCGUGUCUUCCGUGAAAUCCCUCGGCUUAACUGAGGACGUGCGGAAGAAACUGCAAGGCUCGAGUCCGGGAGAGGGGGGUGGAAUUCCCAGUGUAGCGGUGAAAUGCGUAGAUAUCUGGAGGAACACCGGUGGCGAAGGCGGCAUUCUGGACUGUAACUGACACUGAGGAACGAAAGCCAGGGGAGCAAACGGG
This 253-nucleotide ribosomal RNA is filed under the name uncultured bacterium. RNAcentral describes it as "partial 16S ribosomal RNA". It matches the Rfam family "Bacterial small subunit ribosomal RNA", at positions 524 to 776 of the family's 1533-position model. The record is from RNAcentral.